RNAcentral lists this long non-coding RNA (1094 nucleotides) under Manihot esculenta (cassava). RNAcentral's name for it is "long non-coding RNA (MESC_LNC010250)". The record is from RNAcentral. Lineage: Eukaryota; Viridiplantae; Streptophyta; Magnoliopsida; Malpighiales; Euphorbiaceae.
GAUGCUAUGCGACUCUCUUAAUUCUGCCUUGAGGGCAACUGUGCAGAAGCAGCAGAGCAUCUAUAAGCCCCUCAAGUGUCCAACGUCGAAGUAAGAAAAACAAAAACAUGCUCCAAGCAAACAAAUAUAGCAAGACAAUAUCGAAGCACCCACGAAACAUGCAUAUCGGAGUUUAUCCUUAUAUUGGAGAUCCAUGACUAAUGAUCCACACCUAUAAACAAAAUCAAUAAUUUAAUUUCAGCGACUCUUCUCCUAAGUACAAUGUCAUACUAUCAUGACAAAUUAUGUUCUAGACUCAAAAGAGGCCUAGUGUGACGAGCUCUUUCCUUGCCGCUGAGCAGGGCAGAGUAUUACUUAUUACUUGGGAUGGGUAGUUCAUUUCUCCGUGAAUCUGAAUGUUUGUAAUUUGUAAACCCUGAUAUAGAACUUCUGCUCCUAAUAUUGCCUGCACCAGUUCUCCGACCAAAAAUGCCACAUAUUGUCCAAAGACAUGUAAAUAGCAGUCCAUGACUUUGGAAACGUUAGCAGUAAUUUAUUAGUUUGACGUAAUACUUUGGAUCUACAGAAAAAGUCGUGUCUGCGCUAAUACUUGAAGUUUUUCGAUAGUUCUCCAUCCACUCUCUUCAUAUCAUGAAUCCUCAAUAUCCUCACAACAUAGAAAAUAUCAUGCAACCAAUCUUGCAACAGAAAAUCAACCAAGAAGGAAUGGCCAUGCCCAUCAAUGUGCCAUGACUGAACUGUGUCCUCCCAAUUCUGGAAAGCAAUUUCAAAGAACUGUUUCCUUCCAAUGUGCCAUGCCAAGGAACAACUGAUAUUCUCAAUAUGCAAUGGACAAAAGUAACCCUCCAGAUGUAGAACAAUCAUGAUGGUGAAUGAUAAUAUCAAAAGUUCAAGAGCAUAGUAGACUUCCACUAAUGGGAAGUUUCUACCACAGAUCCUGUACAGUGAAUUCAAACCCAAAACCUUUUCCCCCACUUUUUGUUUUUCCUAUAACAGGAAGAUCCAUGGAAACAGUAGCACAUUGCUUUGCCGUGUUGAGGGGAAAAAGCAAACAUAGAGAAGAAGAUCCAUCCACAUAAAAAUUUGAGAAACAA